Molecule: unclassified non-coding RNA, 332 nt
Filed under: soil metagenome
Description: partial contains 5.8S ribosomal RNA, internal transcribed spacer 2, and large subunit ribosomal RNA
Rfam family: 5.8S ribosomal RNA (bases 1-120)
Source: RNAcentral
GAUGAAGAACGUAGCAAAAUGCGAUAAGUAAUGUUAAUUGCAGAAUUCAGUGAAUCAUCGAAUCUUUGAACGCACAUUGCGCCCGCCAGUAUUCUGGCGGGCAUGCCUGUUCGAGCGUCAUUUCAACCCUCAAGCACAGCUUGGUGUUGGGACUCGCGUUAAUUCGCGUUCCUCAAAUUGAUUGGCGGUCACGUCGAGCUUCCAUAGCGUAGUAGUAAAACCCUCGUUACUGGUAAUCGUCGCGGCCACGCCGUUAAACCCCAACUUCUGAAUGUUGACCUCGGAUCAGGUAGGAAUACCCGCUGAACUUAAGCAUAUCAAUAAGCGGAGGA